GAUGAACGCUGGCGGCGUGCCUAAUACAUGCAAGUCGAGCGAACAGACCAGGAACUGGUUCCUCUGACGUUAGCCGCGGAAGGGAGAGGAACACAUGGAUAACCUACCUAUAAAACUGAGAUAACUACGGGAAACCGGAGCUAAUACCGGAUAAUAUAUUGAACCGCAUGGUUCAAUAGUGAAAGACGGUUCUGCUGUCACUUAUAGUUGGAUCCGCGCCGCCUUAGCUAGUUGGUAAGUUAACGGCUUACCAAGGCAACGAUGCGUAGCCGACCUGAGAGAGUGAUCGGCCACACUGGAACUGAGACACGGUCCAGACUCCUACGGGAGGCAGCAGUAGGGAAUCUUCCGCAAUGGGCGAAAGCAUGUCGGAGCAACGCCGCGUGAGUGAUGAAGGUCUUCGGAUCGUAAGACUCUGUUAUUAGGGAAGAACAAAUGUGUAAGUAACUAUGCACGUCUUGACGGUACCUAAUCAGAAAGCAACGGCUAACUACGUG
This 497-nucleotide ribosomal RNA is filed under the name uncultured bacterium. RNAcentral's name for it is "partial 16S ribosomal RNA". It matches the Rfam family "Bacterial small subunit ribosomal RNA", at positions 28 to 507 of the family's 1533-position model. The record is from RNAcentral.